Molecule: long non-coding RNA, 134 nt
Organism: Ipomoea nil (Japanese morning glory)
Lineage: Eukaryota; Viridiplantae; Streptophyta; Magnoliopsida; Solanales; Convolvulaceae
Exons: 4
Source: RefSeq, a predicted model, not a curated record
UUUUUGAGUUAUUAUGUAAAAAAAAAAACUUAAACACAAGGGACACAAGAUUUACAUGGAAAAUCCCAAAACCACGGGGAAAAAUCACGGACCACCACCAAUACAAUAUUCCACUAUAACAAAUCGUUGGUACA